CCCUUAGAUGUUCUGGGCCGCACGCGCGCUACACUGUUCGACGCAGCGAGUCUUAACCUUGACCGAAAGGUUUGGGUAAUCUUCAGCAAAGUCGAACGUGAUGGGGAUCGAUCAUUGCAAUUAUUGAUCGUGAACGAGGAAUUCCUAGUAAGUGCAAGUCAUCAGCUCGCGCUGAUUACGUCCCUGCCCUUUGUACACACCGCCCGUCGCUACUACCGAUUGAAUGGUUUAGUGAGAUCUCUGGAUUGACGCUGGCUAGGGGGCGACCCUUGGCCAGGCUGUCGAGAAACUGCUCAAACUUGAUCAUUUAGAGGAAGUAAAAGUCGUAACA
RNAcentral lists this ribosomal RNA (331 nucleotides) under uncultured eukaryote. RNAcentral describes it as "partial 18S ribosomal RNA". It matches the Rfam family "Eukaryotic small subunit ribosomal RNA", at positions 1470 to 1796 of the family's 1831-position model. The record is from RNAcentral.